UCCGGGCCGGCCCUAUACAUGAAACACAUACCACAAGAAGAGAAGGAAGGAAGCAUUCAUGAUUCAAUGACCAUGCAAGAAAUAAGGUAAACCCUUGGAAGAUCUUCACUGAACAAGAUGUAGCAGUUUUAGCAACCCACAGUGAAGAAUGCAACAAGACGCAAACAUAUAUUACAAGAUAACCACUGAAGUUUCAAAUUUGUACAUAUGCAUGUUCAUCCCAAAAGUUUAGAGAGAGAAAGACAAAUAACAUGCUAAGCUUAAAAUUGAUAAGUAAUAAACUAAAC
This 287-nucleotide long non-coding RNA is filed under the name Actinidia chinensis (golden kiwifruit). Its description in RNAcentral is "long non-coding RNA (ACHI_LNC002458)". The record is from RNAcentral. Lineage: Eukaryota; Viridiplantae; Streptophyta; Magnoliopsida; Ericales; Actinidiaceae.